GUACCCGAGGCGAUGCCGGAGCCGCUAACCGCCCUGCUCUCCUGCGGGUGAUGUCUGGGGCUUUCUUCUUGGGCCCGCAGGUGCUUCCGGAGUUGGGGGCAAGGUGCACCCUCCAGCAAGGCCUGGCCUUGCUAGGAGCUCUGGACCGCCGCGAAUCCCCUCACCCACUCCAGGCCUGAGCCUGGAGGGAGGCAGGAUUUCCUCUGGGCUGCCUUUGAGGCGUUUACCCGCCUGGCAGCGUUAGAUUUGCAUAACCAGAUACGAAUUCCAGUGGAGAUGCAGUGGGUGUGUCUGCAUUUCCGAUUACACCAUCAUUUUAAAAGCUGUGAUGUUCGAAGCAGAUUUGGAGUUUUAAAAGCAGUUUUUACUGUCAUUAUUUUGCUGUGUCUUAAUUUGGAAGAUGGAACAACAGCCCAGACUGAGGGUAAUAUGAAGGGUGUUGAGAAUUUGACAGCAUCACCAUAUGUGCUUCAAAUGAUACCACAUUCCUGAUUUUCAGUAACCAGGUAAGUGUUUUUCUUGCCUGUGCCGAAUUUGCAAUUAGGAAAUUCUGUUCCUAAUUGAACACCAAAACUUAUCAUCUCAUGGUGAAUAUAGAGAAACUCUGCUUAAAGCUGGUGAACUUCUCUUUAUGAGCAGAAGGAUUUAAUGUGACUAAACUUUCCAGCAGACACUCUGGGGAAUUGAGCUUAUUAUAUUUUGUUUUGGUUUAGCUUUUUUUUUUUUUUUCUUUUUUGGGCCACACCUGCGGCAUAUGGGGGUUCCCUGGCUAGGGGUCCAAUAGGAGCUACAGCUGCUGGCCUACAGCACGGCCGUAGCAAUGCCAGAUCUGAGCUGUGUCUGCAACCUGCACCACAGCUCAUUGCAACGCUGGAUCCGUAACUGAGCAAGGCCAGGGAUUGAACCCUCAACAUCAUGGGUCCUAGUUGGAUUCGUUUCCCCUGCACCAUGAAGGGAACUCCCCUUCUGGUUUAGCUUUUUUUUUUUGCUACUUCUUUGGGCUGCUCCCUCGGCAUAUGGAGGUUCCCAGUCUAGGGGUCGAAUCG
Molecule: long non-coding RNA, 1046 nt
Filed under: Sus scrofa (pig)
Lineage: Eukaryota; Metazoa; Chordata; Mammalia; Artiodactyla; Suidae
Description: lncRNA (ENSSSCG00015038726.1)
Source: RNAcentral